This 407-nucleotide ribosomal RNA is filed under the name uncultured Angustibacter sp. RNAcentral describes it as "bacterial SSU rRNA". It matches the Rfam family "Bacterial small subunit ribosomal RNA", at positions 353 to 772 of the family's 1533-position model. The record is from RNAcentral. Lineage: Bacteria; Bacillati; Actinomycetota; Actinomycetes; Kineosporiales; Kineosporiaceae.
AGUGGGGAAUAUUGCACAAUGGGCGAAAGCCUGAUGCAGCGACGCCGCGUGAGGGACGAAGGCCUUCGGGUUGUAAACCUCUUUCAGCAGGGAAGAAGCGAAAGUGACGGUACCUGCAGAAGAAGCACCGGCUAACUACGUGCCAGCAGCCGCGGUAAUACGUAGGGUGCAAGCGUUGUCCGGAAUUAUUGGGCGUAAAGAGCUCGUAGGCGGUCUGUCGCGUCUGCUGUGAAAACUCAGGGCUUAACCCUGAGCCUGCAGUGGGUACGGGCAGACUAGAGUGCGGUAGGGGAGAUCGGAAUUCCUGGUGUAGCGGUGGAAUGCGCAGAUAUCAGGAGGAACACCGGUGGCGAAGGCGGAUCUCUGGGCCGUAACUGACGCUGAGGAGCGAAAGCAUGGGGAGCGAA